This 24-nucleotide ribosomal RNA is filed under the name Asterochloris lobophora. RNAcentral describes it as "partial 26S ribosomal RNA". Lineage: Eukaryota; Viridiplantae; Chlorophyta; Trebouxiophyceae; Trebouxiales; Trebouxiaceae. The record is from RNAcentral.
UAGACCUGAGGUCAGGCAAGACCA